This 468-nucleotide ribosomal RNA is filed under the name uncultured bacterium. RNAcentral's name for it is "partial 16S ribosomal RNA". It matches the Rfam family "Bacterial small subunit ribosomal RNA", at positions 28 to 507 of the family's 1533-position model. The record is from RNAcentral.
GACGAACGCUGGCGGCGUGCUUAACGCAUGCCAGUCGAACGGAAGGGCCCUGCUUUUGUGGGGUGCUCGAGUGGCGAACGGGUGAGUAACACGUGAGUAACCUGCCCUUGACUUUGGGAUAACUUCAGGAAACUGGGGCUAAUACCGGAUAGGAGCUCCUGCUGCAUGGUGGGGGUUGGAAAGUUUCGGCGGUUGGGGAUGGACUCGCGGCUUAUCAGCUUGUUGGUGGGGUAGUGGCUUACCAAGGCUUUGACGGGUAGCCGGCCUGAGAGGGUGACCGGCCACAUUGGGACUGAGAUACGGCCCAGACUCCUACGGGAGGCAGCAGUGGGGAAUAUUGCACAAUGGGCGGAAGCCUGAUGCAGCAACGCCGCGUGCGGGAUGACGGCCUUCGGGUUGUAAACCGCUUUCGCCUGUGACGAAGCGUGAGUGACGGUAAUGGGUAAAGAAGCACCGGCUAACUACGUG